RNAcentral lists this ribosomal RNA (377 nucleotides) under uncultured bacterium. Its description in RNAcentral is "bacterial SSU rRNA". It matches the Rfam family "Bacterial small subunit ribosomal RNA", at positions 523 to 898 of the family's 1533-position model. The record is from RNAcentral.
AUACGUAGGGGGCAAGCGUUGUCCGGAAUUAUUGGGCGUAAAGGGUGCGUAGGCGGCCUUUUAAGUCAGAUGUGAAAGCCCACGGCUUAACCGUGGGAUUGCAUUUGAAACUGGAGGGCUUGAGUAUCGGAGAGGGUAGUGGAAUUCCCAGUGUAGCGGUGAAAUGCGUAGAUAUUGGGAGGAACACCAGUGGCGAAGGCGACUACCUGGACGAAAACUGACGCUGAUGCACGAAAGCUAGGGGAGCAAACAGGAUUAGAUACCCUGGUAGUCCUAGCUGUAAACGAUGGGUACUAGGUGUAGGGGGUUUCGAUACCCUCUGUGCCGGAGUUAACGCAUUAAGUACCCCGCCUGGGGAGUACGUGCGCAAGCAUGAA